This 433-nucleotide ribosomal RNA is filed under the name uncultured bacterium. RNAcentral's name for it is "partial 16S ribosomal RNA". It matches the Rfam family "Bacterial small subunit ribosomal RNA", at positions 29 to 507 of the family's 1533-position model. The record is from RNAcentral.
AGCGAACGCUGGCGGCAGGCUUAACACAUGCAAGUCGAACGCAUCCUUCGGGGUGAGUGGCAGACGGGUGAGUAACACGUUGGAACGUACCCUUCGAUCUGGGAUAACUUCGGGAAACUGGAGCUAAUACCGGCUACGCCCUUUUGGGGAAAGGUUUACUGUCGAAGGAUCGGCACCCGUCUGAUUAGCUUGUUGUUGGGGUAACGGCCUCCCAAGGCGACGAUCAGUAGCUGGUCUGAGAGGAUGAUCAGCCACACUGGGACUGAGACACGGCCCAGACUCCUACGGGAGGCAGCAGUGGGGAAUAUUGGACAAUGGGGGCAAGCAUGAUCCAGCCAUGCCGCGUGAGUGAUGAAGGCCUUAGGGUUGUAAAGCUCUUUUGUCCGGGACGAUAAUGACGGUACCGGAAGAAUAAGCCCCGGCUAACUUCGUG